CGAGAGGCCCAAACAUUAUUCGGAAUUACUGGGCUUAAAGAGUUCGUAGGCGGCAUGAAAAGUAGGGUGUGAAAGCCCUCGGCUCAACUGAGGAAUUGCGCUCUAAACUGUCGUGCUCGAGGAAGCUAGAGGUGAGCGGAACUGAUGGUGGAGCGGUGAAAUGCGUUGGCAUCAUCAGGAACACCGGAGGCGAAGGCGGCUCACUGGGGCUUUUCUGACGCUGAGGAACGAAAGCCAGGGUAGCGAACGGGAUUAGAUACCCCGGUAGUCCUGGCCGUAAACGAUGAGCACUAGGCCGGAGGGCUGCACAGCUUUUCGGCCGUAGCUAAAGUGUUAAGUGCUCCGCCUGGGGAGUAUGGUCGCAAGGCUG
Molecule: ribosomal RNA, 370 nt
Filed under: uncultured organism
Description: bacterial SSU rRNA
Rfam family: Bacterial small subunit ribosomal RNA
Source: RNAcentral